ACUCCAACAUUCGAUUUGCGUCGUCUAUGCAUUCUUGGCCAAUUUCAAACCUCUAAAAGCGUUCCAUGGUGAUACCGAUUUGCUUUCCCCAAGAAUUGUUGUUGGACAGUUGAUGAUAAUCCUCCCCCUUCACCACUAAAUUCUGCAAUUAAAGCUUUUGUUGAUCUUAUUCUGAAGCCCAUUGAAAAUGGUUUAAAGAUGU
Molecule: long non-coding RNA, 202 nt
Organism: Lolium rigidum
Lineage: Eukaryota; Viridiplantae; Streptophyta; Magnoliopsida; Poales; Poaceae
Exons: 3
Source: RefSeq, a predicted model, not a curated record